UACAGAGGGUGCGAGCGUUGUCCGGAAUCACUGGGCGUAAAGGGCGCGUAGGUGGCGCGACAAGUCAGUGGUGAAAGUUCGACGCUCAACGUCGAAUCGGCCACUGAUACUGUUGGGCUUGAGCACUGUAGAGGCUAAUGGAAUUCCGGGUGUAGCGGUGGAAUGCGUAGAGAUCCGGAAGAACACCGGUGGCGAAGGCGGUUAGCUGGGCAGUUGCUGACACUGAGGCGCGACAGCGUGGGGGAGCAAACAGG
RNAcentral lists this ribosomal RNA (254 nucleotides) under uncultured bacterium. RNAcentral describes it as "partial 16S ribosomal RNA". It matches the Rfam family "Bacterial small subunit ribosomal RNA", at positions 524 to 776 of the family's 1533-position model. The record is from RNAcentral.